This is a microRNA precursor of Medicago truncatula (barrel medic), 90 nucleotides long. It matches the Rfam family "MIR2617 microRNA precursor family". Lineage: Eukaryota; Viridiplantae; Streptophyta; Magnoliopsida; Fabales; Fabaceae. The record is from Rfam.
AUGUAGUGUGACAUGCCCGUUUGGGUUAUUACUCUGAUGUUGAAAUAUUUAUUAUUUAAUUGAUUAUUGGGAACGGGGUGUUACAAUUGG